RNAcentral lists this ribosomal RNA (253 nucleotides) under uncultured bacterium. RNAcentral describes it as "partial 16S ribosomal RNA". It matches the Rfam family "Bacterial small subunit ribosomal RNA", at positions 524 to 776 of the family's 1533-position model. The record is from RNAcentral.
UACAGAGGUGGCAAGCGUUGUUCGGAAUUACUGGGCGUAAAGGGCGCGUAGGCGGCCUUCUAAGUCAGACGUGAAAUCCCCCGGCUUAACCUGGGAACUGCGUCUGAUACUGGGAGGCUUGAGUAUGGGAGAGGGAUGUAGAAUUCCAGGUGUAGCGGUGAAAUGCGUAGAUACCUGGAGGAAUACCGGUGGCGAAGGCGGCAUCCUGGACCAUAACUGACGCUGAGGCGCGAAAGCUAGGGGAGCAAACGGG